GGGCUGCCUUCCAGGCUUUUGACCCAAUAGUCCAAAGAAUUUUAAAAACGAUGGUUCCAAACAAAGACAAGUGCUUUCUGUAUACUUGUGUCCUUGUUUUCAAUUUGCUACCAGUAAGGAAAAACAAGGCAGGCCUCCCAUCUUUGGCCUGCCGGGUAACAAUACCUUGACCAAACUUUGUCAUCCCACUUUGUGAUGUAAUUCAUCACCUUUAUAAAUAUCUGGUCCAGCAGAGACUUUUUGUCCCUCUUUGAGGUAGAGCCAUGUUGUCCUCAAGAGACAAGAAUAUGGAAAGCAGCAGAGGCUCGCUGUCAGCAUAACCAAAAAAGAGAGAGGAAAAGACCCCAGAAGACGUUUCCUCGAGCAAGAGAUCCAGGGUGGGGAAGUUCAUUCUAACUUGCUGCUUAUGUUGCAUUUGUGUCUCUCCACCGAAAUCACCACCAGGGCUGGCGAUUGAUGACAAGUCCAAAGAGGGAAAAGAGUCAGAGGCAUAACACCAUUGCCGGGUAAAGCAUUCUAAAAGUUUGGGCACUGAAAUAGGUGGCAGGGAAAGCCAGGGAGACCUCUGGAGGCAGAGGCGGUUUUCCCGGGGAGGAGGUUAGACCGGGCCUACCAGAGAAGACCCAAGACCUUUUGUCAGAUAAAACAACUGGGGUCAGGAAACCAAGGGUUUUAUACUUCAUCUAUUGCAGCUGCAUUUAUACCGCACCAAGGGAAUCACCAGGAAACAAGAACAACGGAGCCGCCCCACCUCUCCUUCCUCUGGAGCCACCCUGCCUCUCUUUCCUCCUCCUGCGCUGCAGGAGUAAAGAAGUUCCCUGACUGCCCGCAAUAAUUUUCUCUGGGCUUGAGGUGGGGCUGCGUUUCCCAGAGUACUUUGAGGCAGCUCAAAUGAUACCAACAUCAGACCAUGACCACCAACGUAUGGCUCAAUCAGGCAACCAUCCCAUGGGUGUUCAGUUUAAACCUCCCAAACUGGAGCAGAAACAACAAAGCAGCUACUUCAUUUUUACAGCAUCUGAUCCUGAUCUCCCAGUGAACAUUUACAUGCCCCUCUUCAUGUGCAGGAUGCAUUCCAAGAAAAUGGAGCACUCAGCAGUAAAUGUAAUCCCGGCUAUACACUGAAUACUAAGGUAUAAUGUUCUGAGCAUUUUUAAUACAAAAGCGAGGCUGUAUCACUGCAUUAAAUUGAAUGGACCAUCUAGUUCCUCUUCACUAAAAGAGAGGUAAUACUUUCAGAUAUCAGCAAGGCCAUCACUGACAUUAACCUCUUUGCCAUUAGAAUGAAUUUCUGCUGACACAUUCCCGCUGCAAAGCUGCAAACCAAUGACCAUGAGAUCUCAGUCACCAAAACUAGCACUGUCAGUUAAGCUGCCAGUCAUACUUACAAGCCUGACAGAGUUGAUGACAGGAACAAAUGCAAGGAGAGAAAAAGAAGUGAACUCUUUUGAGGGAACCUAUUUCUGCACUAAGAGUGCUGUUUUGUUUUUUCACUGUAGGUAAAUAGAUUUUCAUUCUCUCUAUGCAGCAUUAAAUACCAGCCCUGUAGAACACUGAACAGAGAUGGUGGAUUUGCCUGUUGUUAUAUGUGGAGACUGCAGGCAUUGCUCCAAGGUCAUUAGUCUGUCUGUAAUAGCCACCAUCUUUAAGAAACCAUAAUUAAUUUAGUUAUAUGAAUACAGCUGGCAUAUUCAUUACCAACUUCAGUGUGUGGUAUUUUCCAUAAAGACGAAGGGAGAAAUGAUACGUGGAAUCUUCUCAGAGCCCAUUCAGGUGAGUUUAGGGAUAAGAUCACUAUAGACCUGCUGUACAUACAAGUUUCAUAUUCUUACUCUAUGUGGCAUUGGACAAAGCUGUUUUCUCACUGUAUUCCUGGUUAUGUGCUGUAGCAUAUGACUUCCAGCAAAAGAACUAUGGUACCACCAGAAACCCAAUUUUCGGUACGUCUGGCUCAUAUCAUUCCCCAUACUGCCCAUUUUAGUGUGAUGUAGUGAAGAAAGUGUCAGAGGAAGACACUGGGGUCUGGCAACAGAACAUCUCAUAUACAGUAUUUUUCCAUGUAUAAGACUAUACUUUUGUCUAAAAUCUUUAGAAUAAAAAUUGAGGGUCAUCUUAUACA
Molecule: long non-coding RNA, 2119 nt
Organism: Pogona vitticeps (central bearded dragon)
Lineage: Eukaryota; Metazoa; Chordata; Lepidosauria; Squamata; Agamidae
Source: Ensembl